RNAcentral lists this ribosomal RNA (2905 nucleotides) under Klebsiella grimontii. Its description in RNAcentral is "23S ribosomal RNA". It matches the Rfam family "Bacterial large subunit ribosomal RNA". The record is from RNAcentral. Lineage: Bacteria; Pseudomonadati; Pseudomonadota; Gammaproteobacteria; Enterobacterales; Enterobacteriaceae.
UUAAGCGACUAAGCGUACACGGUGGAUGCCCUGGCAGUCAGAGGCGAUGAAGGACGUGCUAAUCUGCGAAAAGCGUCGGUAAGGUGAUAUGAACCGUUAUAGCCGGCGAUGUCCGAAUGGGGAAACCCAGUGCAAUUCGUUGCACUAUCGUUUGAUGAAUACAUAGUCAAACGAGGCGAACCGGGGGAACUGAAACAUCUAAGUACCCCGAGGAAAAGAAAUCAACCGAGAUUCCCCCAGUAGCGGCGAGCGAACGGGGAGCAGCCCGGAGUCUGAAUCAGCUUGUGUGUUAGUGGAAGCGUCUGGAAAGUCGCAGGGUACAGGGUGAUACUCCCGUACACUAAAGCACACAGGUUGUGAACUCGAAGAGUAGGGCGGGACACGUGGUAUCCUGUCUGAAUAUGGGGGGACCAUCCUCCAAGGCUAAAUACUCCUGACUGACCGAUAGUGAACCAGUACCGUGAGGGAAAGGCGAAAAGAACCCCGGCGAGGGGAGUGAAAAAGAACCUGAAACCGUGUACGUACAAGCAGUAGGAGCCUCUUUAUGGGGUGACUGCGUACCUUUUGUAUAAUGGGUCAGCGACUUAUAUUCUGUAGCAAGGUUAACCGUAUAGGGGAGCCGCAGGGAAACCGAGUCUUAACUGGGCGUUAAGUUGCAGGGUAUAGACCCGAAACCCGGUGAUCUAGCCAUGGGCAGGUUGAAGGUUGGGUAACACUAACUGGAGGACCGAACCGACUAAUGUUGAAAAAUUAGCGGAUGACUUGUGGCUGGGGGUGAAAGGCCAAUCAAACCGGGAGAUAGCUGGUUCUCCCCGAAAGCUAUUUAGGUAGCGCCUCGUGAACUCAUCUUCGGGGGUAGAGCACUGUUUCGGCUAGGGGGUCAUCCCGACUUACCAACCCGAUGCAAACUACGAAUACCGAAGAAUGUUAUCACGGGAGACACACGGCGGGUGCUAACGUCCGUCGUGAAGAGGGAAACAACCCAGACCGCCAGCUAAGGUCCCAAAGUCAUGGUUAAGUGGGAAACGAUGUGGGAAGGCCCAGACAGCCAGGAUGUUGGCUUAGAAGCAGCCAUCAUUUAAAGAAAGCGUAAUAGCUCACUGGUCGAGUCGGCCUGCGCGGAAGAUGUAACGGGGCUAAACCAUGCACCGAAGCUGCGGCAGCGACACUAUGUGUUGUUGGGUAGGGGAGCGUUCUGUAAGCCGUUGAAGGUGGCCUGUGAGGGUUGCUGGAGGUAUCAGAAGUGCGAAUGCUGACAUAAGUAACGAUAAUGCGGGUGAAAAACCCGCACGCCGGAAGACCAAGGGUUCCUGUCCAACGUUAAUCGGGGCAGGGUGAGUCGACCCCUAAGGCGAGGCCGAAAGGCGUAGUCGAUGGGAAACAGGUUAAUAUUCCUGUACUCGGUGUUACUGCGAAGGGGGGACGGAGAAGGCUAUGUUGGCCGGGCGACGGUUGUCCCGGUUUAAGCAUGUAGGCGGAUGUUCCAGGUAAAUCCGGAACGUUAUCAACGCUGAGGUGUGAUGACGAGGCACUACGGUGCUGAAGUGACAAAUGCCCUGCUUCCAGGAAAAGCCUCUAAGCAUCAGGUAACAUCAAAUCGUACCCCAAACCGACACAGGUGGUCAGGUAGAGAAUACCAAGGCGCUUGAGAGAACUCGGGUGAAGGAACUAGGCAAAAUGGUGCCGUAACUUCGGGAGAAGGCACGCUGAUAUGUAGGUGAAGUGGUUUACCCAUGGAGCUGAAAUCAGUCGAAGAUACCAGCUGGCUGCAACUGUUUAUUAAAAACACAGCACUGUGCAAACACGAAAGUGGACGUAUACGGUGUGACGCCUGCCCGGUGCCGGAAGGUUAAUUGAUGGGGUUAUCCGUAAGGAGAAGCUCUUGAUCGAAGCCCCGGUAAACGGCGGCCGUAACUAUAACGGUCCUAAGGUAGCGAAAUUCCUUGUCGGGUAAGUUCCGACCUGCACGAAUGGCGUAAUGAUGGCCAGGCUGUCUCCACCCGAGACUCAGUGAAAUUGAACUCGCUGUGAAGAUGCAGUGUACCCGCGGCAAGACGGAAAGACCCCGUGAACCUUUACUAUAGCUUGACACUGAACACUGGUCCUUGAUGUGUAGGAUAGGUGGGAGGCUUUGAAGUGUGGACGCCAGUCUGCAUGGAGCCAUCCUUGAAAUACCACCCUUUAAUGGCUGGUGUUCUAACGUGGGCCCCUAAUCGGGGUUGCGGACAGUGUCUGGUGGGUAGUUUGACUGGGGCGGUCUCCUCCUAAAGAGUAACGGAGGAGCACGAAGGUCAGCUAAUCCUGGUCGGACAUCAGGAGGUUAGUGCAAUGGCAUAAGCUGGCUUGACUGCGAGCGUGACGGCGCGAGCAGGUGCGAAAGCAGGUCAUAGUGAUCCGGUGGUUCUGAAUGGAAGGGCCAUCGCUCAACGGAUAAAAGGUACUCCGGGGAUAACAGGCUGAUACCGCCCAAGAGUUCAUAUCGACGGCGGUGUUUGGCACCUCGAUGUCGGCUCAUCACAUCCUGGGGCUGAAGUAGGUCCCAAGGGUAUGGCUGUUCGCCAUUUAAAGUGGUACGCGAGCUGGGUUUAGAACGUCGUGAGACAGUUCGGUCCCUAUCUGCCGUGGGCGCUGGAGAAUUGAGGGGGGCUGCUCCUAGUACGAGAGGACCGGAGUGGACGCAUCACUGGUGUUCGGGUUGUCAUGCCAAUGGCAUUGCCCGGUAGCUAAAUGCGGAAGAGAUAAGUGCUGAAAGCAUCUAAGCACGAAACUUGCCCCGAGAUGAGUUCUCCCUGACUCCUUGAGAGUCCUGAAGGAACGUUGAAGACGACGACGUUGAUAGGCCGGGUGUGUAAGCGCAGCGAUGCGUUGAGCUAACCGGUACUAAUGAACCGUGAGGCUUAACCUU